UACAUUAUAUAAAUGUUGCUCAUAUUUUGAGUUUGAGCAGAAUUUUAUGAUUUGAUACUGGCUUCACCCCUCCCCCUCCUACUCCUCCAUGUCAUUGUUGACAUCAUUAUCAUCAUCAUCAUCAUCAUUAUGAACUCUUAUCUAUCUUUGAUGAUGCAACAAAGAGCCAUCAACCUCACUACCAGGCAUGCACACAUACAUAUAUACAUUUAUUUGUAUAAGUAUAUAUACAUAUAAAUACAUUAUGCGUAUGUCUAUGUGUGAAGAUGAAAGAGAAGCAAGCUACCACCUCUACAGAAUGCUUUUGUUCAUUGACCAAUUUUUUAGUGAUGAAGAGAAUAAAAAGACAAGAUGUCCUUCACACAGCGGCAAUACUUUCCUUGGUUCUUCACUGCUGCCUCUGUGUAGACAUUACCUACCAUGUGGAAGAAGGGAAGGGACCUGGAGCGUAUGUGGGAGACAUCGCUACAGACUUACACUUGAUGGACAAAAUACCAUUCCAAGAUCACAAUCUUAUAACGUUCAGCCAGUUGGAACAAAGACUGUCAGACAGUUUCCGCUUGUUCAAUGUGACCAAGAAAGGUAAACUGCACACAGCACAAUCACUAGAUGCUGAGUCCCUGUGUUCAUAUAAAAUGGAAUGUUCCAAAAUAGUCAAAGUGGCAGUUCGAAAAGCUGAAACUUUUAUGAAAGUACUGAAGAUUAAAGUUGUUAUACAAGAUGUUAAUGAUAACCGACCAGAAUUUCCUGAAAAGUUUGCCAACAUCCAGUUCUCUGAAGGGGACAAGGAAGGAAUGAAGAUUUCUAUUCCAAAUGCUAUUGACAAGGAUAUUGGGGUUCCAUAUUCCAAAAUUAAAUACCAACUUAAAAUGGAAGAAAAAGAACCUUUUACAUUGUCAGUAAUUAAACGAAUAACAGGAACUUCUGAGUUAGGUAUAGUUCUGAUGAAAACAUUAGACCGUGAGGUCAGAGACUCUUACAAUGUACAAAUAAUUGCCAAAGAUGGAGGUUACCCUCCAAAACAAGGUGUUUUAGAUGUUCAUAUAACUGUGACAGAUGUCAAUGACAAUCCGCCUGUCUUUAGUCGAGAUAUUUUCAAUAUUUCUGUAAAGAAUACUCACCAGAGAAAUGGGGCCAUCUUAAUGUUGUCAGCGAGAGAUCUUGAUUCAGGAGAGAAUGGUAAAGUGUCAUACCAGUUUAGUUCUGAAACACCUGAAAGUGUGAAAUCUUACUUUAGACUCAAUCGAGAUACAGGUGAGAUAUUUUUACAGAAGGAUCUUAGAGCAGAACAUAAAAAGACUUAUGAAUUGUUUGUACGAGCCACAGAUGGUGGCAGUGCCCCUCUCAGUUCCAUAGCCAUGGUUUUGGUAAAUGUCAUCAACCAACACAACAUGGCACCAGAAAUAGAUGUCAACUUUGUCACUCCGAUAAAAGAGAAAGAGAAUACAGCAGCCAUUUCUGAAGGAAUCAAAGUCGGCAGUUACAUAGCGUAUGUCAGUAUUAUUGAUAAUGAUGUUGGACAGAAUGGUGAGGUGGAAUGUAGCCUACACCAUGAUAAGUUCCUUCUUUUAGAAUUAGGUUUAAAAGAAUAUAAAAUUACAUUAAAGAAACUUGUUGACAGAGAGAAACAAGAUAGGUAUGACAUAACAAUUUCUUGCGAAGACAAAGGAUCCCCUCCUUUACAGACUCAGAGACAGUUCUCCAUUGAAGUAAUGGAUGUCAACGAUGUACAGCCACAAUUUACAAAAGAAUCGUUUAAAUUUCUGACUUAUGAAAAUGGGAAAACAAACUUCCCCAUUGGUUUUAUAAAUGCUACUGACCCUGAUAUGGGAGCUGGAGGUCAACUGACUUUUUCUCUGUUGAGUACCAGCAAACAUGUGAUACCAUUCCAGAUAACUGAUUAUGGUUUUAUCUCAACCACUAUACCACUGGAUAGAGAACAACAAAAUGUUUAUAAGUUCCAAGUAUUUGUCAAAGACAACGGGAAUCCUUCAUUAAAUAACACAGCCAAUGUGAUUGUAGAAGUUUUAGAUGAGAAUGAUAAUGCCCCUUAUUUCACCUUCCCUAGUUCGGACCCUUUCAGCCUUGAUGUCCACUAUCAUCCCCAAAGUAAAAAAGAGAUUACUGUUUUAAGGGCUUCAGACAGGGACAGUCAUUUAAAUGCGUUCCUUCAAUAUGAAAUUCUUGGAGGAAACAACAAGCAGCUUUUCACAGUAAACCCUUAUUCUGGGGCGCUGUCUUUUGCUCGAACAGUUUACCAAAAUGAUGCUGGUACUUACAAACUACAGAUCACUGUCAGAGACAGUGGCACACCAGCUCUGACAGCAAGAGUAACAUUAUCUUUAACACUGACCGUCAGCAACAAAACGUCUCCAGCCCUGAAAAAUUUUCAGUCACAAUCUGACAACAUGAUCAACUUGACCUGGGUCAUCAUUAUUGUAACAGCAGCAGUAAUAGUGUCAGUAGCCGUAGUGGUGUCCAUCACACUGUGUGUGGUGAGGUGUAAUAACGACAGAGGUACACAGUACAUUACAGAAAUCAGCUCCGACAGAGAGAAAAGUCAUUAUACCUGCACAACUAAGAAACCUGUGGCCACAACAAGAACCCAAACAAGACAAUCAACUGAAAUGAGGAACAGAAAUACACAAUUUAUGGAAUCAAAAAGUGGUUUUUACCCUCAGUACGAGUCCCAAAGUGAAUGGACUACCUCUACUACAGAAAGAAGGCCCCCUUCAGUUUUACUGCGGUGGUGGUGGUGGUGUUGGUGUUGGUAGUAGUGGUGGUGUUGGUGGUGGUGGUGGUAGUGGUGGUGGUGGUUGUGGUCAUGGCGACGGUGGCAAGUCGAGGGUGUAGGGUUAGUGUUGGUAGUAGUGUUGGUGGUGGUGUUGUUGUUGUUGUUGUUGUUGCUUAAUCACUGGUCAUCAGCUUUGGCAACAGCACUUCUGUGUGGGCAAUACAUCAAUCUGCUGGAAAUGGCAGUCAAAUUGUCCUCAAAUCACACCCCAUUGUUUUGAAAGGAGAAAGACACAUCGCCUACAAUGUUGUCUUGGUUGGCAGUGGUAGUCAUGAUUGGAGUGUCUUUGAUCAUAUAUCUUGCUGGAUCAGAGCAAUGGUGGUUGUGUGAGUGGUGGUGCUGGUGGCGACAGCAGCCUGUACUGGUGCCGGAGCUGGGUAGGGGUGGAAACGAAGGAUCCGGUCAAGCAAGCCAGAGGCCAGGUGUGUUUUCAUACUGAAGUCACUGCCUUGACCCCUUGGCUGCCAGAAUAGUGAUAGUGGGGCAGGGUGGGGGGGUGAUGGAAAGUGUGUGCGUGCGUGUGUGUGUGUUUGAGGAAAUGAAUUAACACCACAACAGCAACAACCAACACUCCUACACGCACACACAGUAGAAAAGAAGAAGAAAGAGAACAAGAACAACAGCAAGAAGAAGAAGGGGCCAACAGUUAUUUUGGUUUUUUUUUUCAUGUUUUUCCCUCAAGCCCUUCCCCAUCCUCAUCCCAAUCAUUCCCUUCCCCAUCUCUCUCUCUCUCUUUUUCAUUUCAUGCUUCUUUCGUCUCUCAAUUUCAUUUCACUCUCUUUCUCUACACUCUCUCUACCACAUGUUAUACAUCUCUCUCUUUCUCUUUCUCUCUCUCUCACCCAGUCAUAAACAUCAUUCUCUUUCAAUGCUCAUUUCUCUCUCUCUCUCUCUCUCUCUCUCUCUCUGUCAAUAUUGAUCUCUCUCCUUUGCCACUUCUCUCUGUUCAGUCUUUCUAAGCCUCCUACUCCAUUCAUCUCUCUCUCUCUCUCUCUCUCUCUCACACAUGUAUGCCUCCGUCUUUCCAGUGACACGACUCCAUUGAACCGUUCCUGGAAAGAUGGACAUUUCCAUAAACAAUAACAAAAUCUACAAGGAAUACAGGAUGAGUUGGGAGUGGAAUUGUGACAGAGGUGUGUGAUAUGU
This 3940-nucleotide unclassified non-coding RNA is filed under the name Octopus sinensis (East Asian common octopus). RNAcentral's name for it is "putative protocadherin beta-18, transcript variant X8". The record is from RNAcentral. Lineage: Eukaryota; Metazoa; Mollusca; Cephalopoda; Octopoda; Octopodidae.